UUCCCCUUCGGGGGACAAAGUGACAGGUGGUGCAUGGUUGUCGUCAGCUCGUGUCGUGAGAUGUUGGGUUAAGUCCCGCAACGAGCGCAACCCUUAAGCUUAGUUGCCAUCAUUAAGUUGGGCACUCUAAGUUGACUGCCGGUGACAAACCGGAGGAAGGUGGGGAUGACGUCAAAUCAUCAUGCCCCUUAUGAUUUGGGCUACACACGUGCUACAAUGGACAAUACAAAGGGCAGCGAAACCGUGAGGUCAAGCAAAUCCCAUAAAGUUGUUCUCAGUUCGGAUUGUAGUCUGCAACUCGACUACAUGAAGCUGGAAUCGCUAGUAAUCGUAGAUCAGCAUGCUACGGUGAAUACGUUCCCGGGUCUUGUACACACCGCCCGUCACACCACGAGAGUUUGUAACACCCGAAGCCGGUGGAGUAACCUUUUAGGAGCUAGCCGUCGAAGGUGGGACAAAUGAUUGGGGUGAAGUCGUAACAAGGUAGCCGUAUCGGAAGGUGCGGCUGGAUAACCUCCUUU
RNAcentral lists this ribosomal RNA (521 nucleotides) under Staphylococcus aureus. RNAcentral describes it as "bacterial SSU rRNA". It matches the Rfam family "Bacterial small subunit ribosomal RNA", at positions 1013 to 1533 of the family's 1533-position model. The record is from RNAcentral. Lineage: Bacteria; Bacillati; Bacillota; Bacilli; Caryophanales; Staphylococcaceae.